Lolium rigidum is the source of this 319-nucleotide long non-coding RNA. RefSeq lists it as uncharacterized. The transcript has 2 exons. The record is from RefSeq and is a predicted model, not a curated record. Lineage: Eukaryota; Viridiplantae; Streptophyta; Magnoliopsida; Poales; Poaceae.
CAGUGGGCAGGCGCACCUGCUGACCAUCCAGUGCAGAAGGAAGUGCAGCAGCUGCCUGCGUGUAACCAGGAGGAGUCGUCGGGUUGCUUCUGCAUAACAUGCUGAUUGCUUGAGGUACAUGGCCUGCCAGGUCUUCAAAUGGUGGCCCUCAUCAUGUGUAUAAACAUUGUGAUACAUCUUUUUUGGUAUCUACACCACUCUUAAGUGUAUGAGCAGAUAUCCUUCUGAAUUGUGAUCAGAUGACUUUAUGGUACAUUGGAUAGUGUAACUUUGCUGCACAUAUACUUCUCUAUUUAUAUCCAUUACCAAACAAGAAUUA